RNAcentral lists this long non-coding RNA (900 nucleotides) under Oreochromis niloticus (Nile tilapia). RNAcentral's name for it is "lncRNA (ENSONIG00000041369.1)". The record is from RNAcentral. Lineage: Eukaryota; Metazoa; Chordata; Actinopteri; Cichliformes; Cichlidae.
AUGCUUCACGCUCUUCUUCUCUUGUGCCUUCAGACUAUCCAGAUGGCUGCAUUAGAAGCUCACACAGAAAUCAAAGUGAAGCCUGGACAAGAGGCCACCUUUCACUGUGCGUGUCCCAGAGCUGCAGCCAUCACCCUGCUGGAGUGGAGCAGACACGGCCUCGAUUCUUUGUUCUAUCGUAACUCGUUUCAAAGAUACCAGCCUGAGUCCUUUGAAGACCGAGUGGAGUUGAAGGAUGGAGACCUCACUUUGAUUCUGAAGAACGUCACCAUCAACGAUAAUGGCACGUACAAGUGUCGGAUUGUGUUCAGGAACAAAAACAGCACAGAGAGACCGUUCAGGGGCAUUAAGUGCUUCAUCAACCUCACAGUGACGGCCUCGGACCACACAGAUGUCAAAGUGAGGUCUGGACAAGAUGUCACUCUUCAGUGUCGGGGACCCACAGAUGCAGAUAUCACAGCAUUAGAGUGGAGCAGACCCGAGCUCGUGUCAGAGGGUUAUGUGUUCUUCUUCCAAAACCAGCACUCAGAUGAGAACUAUCAGCACGAGUCCAUCAAAGGCCGAGUGGAGCUGAGAGACUCAUCCACGAAGGACGGAGACGUUUCCAUCAUUCUAAGGAACAUCAGCAUCAGCGAUACAGGAAUAUAUGAAUGUAAGAUUACAACCAAUCACACCAUCUAUGGUGAGAGAGUCAUCAAGGAGUUCAGACACUCCAUCAACCUCACAGUCACAGACUCAGGUUUCACAGAUGAAGACACAAAUAGUGGAGGAGACGAGGGUGGAGGAGAUUGGGAUUGGACUCUUUUAUUAAUAGUUUUUCUGUCAGUUUGGGCUGUGUUUGUUGUUCCUGCUGUUUCUGCUGUCGUCAUAAUUACCUGCAAGGAACAAAAGCCGUUAUAG